RNAcentral lists this long non-coding RNA (1030 nucleotides) under Lynx pardinus (Iberian lynx). The record is from RNAcentral. Lineage: Eukaryota; Metazoa; Chordata; Mammalia; Carnivora; Felidae.
UUGCAGAAUGUGAUAUGUGUGUAUAAUGUGUAUGCAUUGUUCAUGAUAAUGACUGAGGUAUGCCAGAAUGCCUCCCAGCCUGAAAUACAUAGUCUUUGUGCCUGAAAUUUCCAUCUUUCUUCUAAUAGUGGGAUCUAGUGCUCUCAUUUGUGUUGUCUUUUCAAUUACAAAUGCUCCUGGGAGGGACAGCAGCUUAAGUCUCCAAACCUUGAUACAAGUGAGUUAAUUAUAAGUUUUCCGUAAGUUACAAGAGUAGUUUCAUAGUACUGAGACCCUGGGGAGGGUGAGAAGGAGCCUGAAACAGGGAGGCUGCUGAGUCUUACAGGAUUCCAGAGGGCUGGUCCCAAUCAAAAGCUGGAAUGCAGAAUGGCAUACCCCUCAAACUCUUCUAACUUAAAGCACGGUGUUUUAAAUUGGAUAGGUAUCAGUCAUUAAAACCAUCACAUUCAUAGAAAUUCAGUGUUUAAAAUUUGUAUUAUAAACACAGUUAAAUUUUUAAAAAUUUUUGUAGGUAAUAAAAUCAUUGUCACUUGGCCAGAAGCAAUGCAACUUGAGCUCAGGUUUUUGCUCAUGAUCCAUAACACGUAUAUGUCACAUGUUCUAUUACUCCCUAAAUCUAGAAAGAUGUGUUUCAUAGUGUCUCUGAUCUCAUUUCUCAUUUUCCUUUUUGAGUGGUCAAAAUGUCAUUCUGAGAUCCAACACUGAAUGACUGUGUGUGUGUGUGUGUGUGUGUGUGUGUGUAUUCAUUCAUUGUGUAUGUGCAUAUAUACAUACAUACACACACACACAUAUAAUGUUCAUUAUAUAUGUAUACAUACACACAUAAAACACAUAUCUCACAGCUCACAUAUCUUGUUCACGUGGCUCUUUCAGGAAGAUUCAUAACACUUUGCUUUACAAAGAAAGUUUUAAAAAGAGAAAGAAAAUGAAACGAAACAGUGACUGUCCCCUAGUGCAAUUACUGUGUCAAAUACUCCCCUAGGGAAAGGAAUUUGCUCUUAUUGUGAAAUAAAUUAAUAUAGAAACCAGA